ACAAAGCUGCCCGGAUGGAGGGUUAGAACCGAUAAGAGGUUCGACGUCUGAGCAACGCGAAGACGAACAGCACAAGCUGGCCCCGUAGGGGUGAGGCCCAACGGGCCGAAUAAUCCUCCAUCCCCAGCCA
Molecule: small RNA, 130 nt
Filed under: gamma proteobacterium symbiont of Ctena orbiculata
Lineage: Bacteria; Pseudomonadati; Pseudomonadota; Gammaproteobacteria
Also listed under: 2 other names
Description: RtT sRNA
Rfam family: RtT RNA
About the family: This family represents a bacterial cis-regulatory element known as RtT RNA. The exact function of RtT is unknown although it is thought that it may be involved in changing the cellular response in relation to amino acid starvation.
Source: RNAcentral